CCUACGGGGGGCUGCAGUCGAGAAUCUUCGGCAAUGGGCGCUAGCCUGACCGAGCGACGCCGCGUGGAGGACGAAGGCCUUCGGGUUGUAAACUCCUGUCGUAGGGGAACAAGGCCUGGUGGAGAAUCAGGCUUGAGUGAUCCUAGGAGGAAGCACGGGCUAAGUUCGUGCCAGCAGCCGCGGUAAGACGAACCGUGCGAACGUUAUUCGGAAUCACUGGGCUUAAAGCGCGUGUAGGCGGCCCGACACGUCCGUCGCUGAAAGCCCCCGGCUCAACCGGGGAAGUGGCGCGGAUACGAUCGGGCUGGAGGGGGGUAGGGGGAGCCGGAACUCACGGUGGAGCGGUGAAAUGCGUUGAGAUCGUGAGGAACGCCCGUGGCGAAAGCGGGCUCCUGGGCCCCACCUGACGCUGAGACGCGAAAGCCAGGGGAGCGAACGGGAUUAGAUACCCUUGUAGUC
This 459-nucleotide ribosomal RNA is filed under the name uncultured Isosphaera sp. Its description in RNAcentral is "bacterial SSU rRNA". It matches the Rfam family "Bacterial small subunit ribosomal RNA", at positions 338 to 795 of the family's 1533-position model. Lineage: Bacteria; Pseudomonadati; Planctomycetota; Planctomycetia; Isosphaerales; Isosphaeraceae. The record is from RNAcentral.